RNAcentral lists this unclassified non-coding RNA (320 nucleotides) under uncultured fungus. RNAcentral describes it as "partial contains small subunit ribosomal RNA, internal transcribed spacer 1, and 5.8S ribosomal RNA". The stretch from base 1 to 73 matches the Rfam family "Eukaryotic small subunit ribosomal RNA", at positions 1759 to 1831 of the family's 1831-position model. The record is from RNAcentral. Lineage: Eukaryota; Fungi.
UCAAACUUGGUCAUUUAGAGGAAGUAAAAGUCGUAACAAGGUUUCCGUAGGUGAACCUGCGGAAGGAUCAUUACGAAAAAGCGAGCAAUCGCUUUUCUACCUGCUCGGCGGCCCUUCUGGGUCAUUGACUGGUCAACCCUUUGUGAACCAAGAAACACUUUCGCUUCGGCAGCUGGGCCCUAACCGGGUCCGUCAGCCUGCCGCUAGCACCCCUUCAUAAACCUGUUUGUCAAAACAUUGUCUGAUAACCAAAUUUUCGAAUGAAAAUUAAAACUUUCAACAACGGAUCUCUUGGUUCCCGCAUCGAUGAAGAACGCAGC